This 298-nucleotide signal recognition particle RNA is filed under the name Cebus imitator (Panamanian white-faced capuchin). Its description in RNAcentral is "Metazoan signal recognition particle RNA (ENSCCAG00000001783.1)". It matches the Rfam family "Metazoan signal recognition particle RNA". From Rfam's summary of the family: The signal recognition particle (SRP) is a universally conserved ribonucleoprotein. It is involved in the co-translational targeting of proteins to membranes. Lineage: Eukaryota; Metazoa; Chordata; Mammalia; Primates; Cebidae. The record is from RNAcentral.
GCCGGAUGUGGUGGUGUGAGUCUGUAGUCCCAGUUACUCGGGAGGCUGAGGCUGGAGGAUCUCUUGAGCCCAGGAGUUCUGGGCUGUAGUGCACUAUGCCGAUCGGGUGUCUGCACUAAUAUCGGCAUCAAUAUGGUGACCUCCCGGGAGUGGGGACUACCAGGUUGCCUAAGGAGGGGUGAACCGGCCCAGGUCGGAAACAGAGCACGUCAAAACUCCCGUGCUGAUCAGUAGUGGGAUCGCACCUGUGAAUAGCCACUGCACUCCAGCCUGGGCAACAUAGUGAGAUCCCGUCUCU